This 642-nucleotide long non-coding RNA is filed under the name Monodelphis domestica (gray short-tailed opossum). Its description in RNAcentral is "lncRNA (ENSMODG00000048146.1)". The record is from RNAcentral. Lineage: Eukaryota; Metazoa; Chordata; Mammalia; Didelphimorphia; Didelphidae.
CACCAAGUGUCAAUUCAAAGGUGUGGAAAGGAAACAAGACUGACAGUUUGUGGGGGAAGGGGCCAACUGGGAGUGGCAGUUGGGUCUUGUGACUGGCACUUCCUUCCUGCGGGGAGCGGGGGAUGGGCUGCCUGGUGUUGGGGGAGAGAGGACCUUGUUCAGCCUGUCUGAAGUGGCAUGCUUUUCUUGAUUCAGCCGGAAGAUUCAGGCUCAGUCGCUUCUGAAGGAUGAGAAGUAGAACCUACAAUCACUGCCCCUCCUCACCCCAGGAAGUACUAUGCCAAUUUAAAGACCAUAAUUGGUCCCACUAAAAUGGAACAAGGGACAGAAAGUGAUGUAAAAAAAGGACUAUAAAAGAUGAUGAACUCCCUGUGAAAGAGGGCUUCAUUCUGAAUUUUUGGGUUGGAGGAUAUUCUUCUGUGGGACUUUGCCUUGGGCCUUGGGCCUUGGACCUGGGACUCUGGCUUUUAGACUGCUUCUUGUAAGACUGCUCCUGGAUCUUCUCCUUUGGAUCUUCUCCUGGAAGCAAGGAAGAAAAACCUACAAAUUCAAUCUGCUUAAGUAUUUUUCAGAUCUGAUCAUUCAAAAUCUGAAAGCACUAAAGAAAAAGAAAAAGGAAGGAUGAAACAAAGAAAUAAAGAA